This 482-nucleotide ribosomal RNA is filed under the name uncultured bacterium. RNAcentral describes it as "bacterial SSU rRNA". It matches the Rfam family "Bacterial small subunit ribosomal RNA", at positions 30 to 507 of the family's 1533-position model. The record is from RNAcentral.
AUUGAACGCUGGCGGCAUGCCUUACACAUGCAAGUCGAACGGCAGCACGGGAGCAAUCCUGGUGGCGAGUGGCGAACGGGUGAGUAAUAUAUCGGAACGUGCCCAGUCGUGGGGGAUAACGUAGCGAAAGCUACGCUAAUACCGCAUACGAUCUAUGGAUGAAANCGGGGGUCGCAAGACCUCGCGCGAUUGGAGCGGCCGAUAUCAGAUUAGGUAGUUGGUGAGGUAAAGGCUCACCAAGCCGACGAUCUGUAGCUGGUCUGAGAGGACGACCAGCCACACUGGGACUGAGACACGGCCCAGACUCCUACGGGAGGCAGCAGUGGGGAAUUUUGGACAAUGGGCGCAAGCCUGAUCCAGCAAUGCCGCGUGCAGGAUGAAGGCCUUCGGGUUGUAAACUGCUUUGUACGGAACGAAACGGUGAGCUCUAAUACAGUUUGCUAAUGACGGUACCGUAAGAAUAAGCACCGGCUAACUACGUG